AGGUAGAGGAGAGGUGGGAGGUUGGGGAAGGAGGUAGAGGAGGUAGAGGAGAGAAGGGAGAUGGGGAAGGAGGUAGAAGAGGUAGAGGAGAGGUGUGGUUGGGGA
Long non-coding RNA from Oncorhynchus masou masou (cherry salmon), 105 nucleotides. RefSeq lists it as uncharacterized. The transcript is spliced from 3 exons. The record is from RefSeq and is a predicted model, not a curated record. Lineage: Eukaryota; Metazoa; Chordata; Actinopteri; Salmoniformes; Salmonidae.